CUGGGACGGAAGGAUUCGAACCUCCGAAUAGCGGGACCAAAACCCGUUGCCUUACCACUUGGCCACGCCCCA
Molecule: transfer RNA, 72 nt
Filed under: Humulus lupulus (European hop)
Lineage: Eukaryota; Viridiplantae; Streptophyta; Magnoliopsida; Rosales; Cannabaceae
Also listed under: 33 other names
Description: tRNA-Gln
Source: RNAcentral